Long non-coding RNA from Hippocampus comes (tiger tail seahorse), 117 nucleotides. RefSeq lists it as uncharacterized. The transcript is spliced from 3 exons. The record is from RefSeq and is a predicted model, not a curated record. NCBI's taxonomy places the organism in Eukaryota, Metazoa, Chordata, Actinopteri, Syngnathiformes, Syngnathidae.
CAAUGACAGCUAUGUGACAAUGUGCAGAGUAUCGAGCACAGUGAAAGUGAUCAAUGGUAGAAUACAAUACUAUGACGGUUGCGCAGUUGGUGCAGAGAAUCAUUGAAGCAUUUUAAA